RNAcentral lists this long non-coding RNA (234 nucleotides) under Elaeis guineensis (African oil palm). RNAcentral's name for it is "long non-coding RNA (EGUI_LNC059864)". The record is from RNAcentral. Lineage: Eukaryota; Viridiplantae; Streptophyta; Magnoliopsida; Arecales; Arecaceae.
CAUCCAAUGCUUUCUUCCUGGAUUCGACUAAUAUCUGCUCAUAACUUUCAUAGUAAGAUAUACCAAGUCAAGUAUAUAGCAUGGCAUUCACCUAUGCUUAAGAGGAUAAUGGAUCCCUCUUGGAGGUUUCAAUGCUGAACCCUUUCAGCACCUCUUUUAUGUACUUGUCUAUUAAAAUCAAAUAUCCUUUUAGGAUCUAUCUCUAUGGACCUUUAUUUUGAGAAUGUUUGACCU